GUGACAAGCUACUAAGGGCGGUCGGUGGAUGCCUUGGCAUCAAGAGCCGAUGAAGGACGUUGUAACCUGCGAUAAGCCAUGGGGAGCUGGUAAACGAGCUUUGAUCCGUGGAUCUCCGAAUAGGGAAACCUCGAAUGUCCCGAGUUGUGUCGGGCGACCUCAUCCUGAAUAUAUAGGGGUGUUGGAGGGAACGUGGGGAAGUGAAACAUCUCAGUACCCACAGGAAGAGAAAACAAUUGUGAUUCCGUGAGUAGUGGCGAGCGAAAGCGGAAGAGGCCAAACCUGGUGUGUGUGAUAGCUGGCAGGCGUUGCAUGCUGGGGGUAGUGGGGCCGGCUUGGGAGAGCUGCUGAUCUCCCGACGAGUGAUAAAGGGAAUGCGAAGUCGAACAGCCUGGGAAGGUUGGCCAUAGUGCGUGACAGUCGUGUAGGCGUAUGUGUUCCCCUCGUGGUCGUUACCCCAAGUAGCACGGAACCCCUGAAAUUCUGUGUGAAUCCGGCGGGACCACCCGUCAAGCCUAAAUACUCCUUGAUGACCGAUAGCGGACAAGUACCGUGAGGGAAAGGUGAAAAGUACCCCGGGAGGGGAGUGAAAUAGUACCUGAAACCGACCGCCUACAAUCCGUCGGAGCCUCUUUGUGGGGUGACGGCGUGCCUUUUGAAGAAUGAGCCUGCGAGUCAGUGCUCGGUGGCGAGGUUAACCCGUGUGGGGGAGCCGUAGCGAAAGCGAGUCCGAAUAGGGCGUUUUAGUCGCCGGGUCUGGACCCGAAGCGGAGUGAUCUAUCCAUGGCCAGGUUGAAGCGACGGUAAGACGUCGUGGAGGACCGAACCCACUUGGGUUGAAAACCGAGGGGAUGAGCUGUGGAUAGGGGUGAAAGGCCAAUCAAACUCCGUGAUAGCUGGUUCUCCCCGAAAUGCAUUUAGGUGCAGCGUCGCCUGUUUCUUACCGGAGGUAGAGCACUGGAUGGUCUAGGGGGCCCACAAGCUUACCAAAAUCAGCCAAACUCCGAAUGCCGGUAAGUGAAGGGCGGCAGUGAGACUGUGGGGGAUAAGCUUCAUAGUCGAGAGGGAAACAGCCCAGAUCAUCAGCUAAGGCCCCUAAGGGACUGCUAAGUGGAAAAGGAUGUGGAGUUGCGAAGACAACCAGGAGGUUGGCUUGGAAGCAGCCACCCUUGAAAGAGUGCGUAAUAGCUCACUGGUCAAGUGAUUCUGCGCCGACAAUGUAGCGGGGCUCAAGCAGUCCGCCGAAGCUGUGGCAACCAUGCGUGUACUUGAUCUUUGGAUCCAGGUGUGUGGUUGGGUAGGGGAGCGUCGUGUGUGCGGUGAAGCGGCGGGGUGACCCAGUCGUGGAGUGCACACGAGUGAGAAUGCAGGCAUGAGUAGCGAAAGACGGGUGAGAAACCCGUCCGCCGAAUAUCCAAGGGUUCCAGGGUCAAGCUAAUCUGCCCUGGGUGAGUCGGGACCUAAGGCGAGGCCGACAGGCGUAGUCGAUGGACAACCAGUUGAUAUUCUGGUACCGGCGAAGCAACGCCCGUGCCGAGGCCGGUGAUACUAAGCACGCAAGGCCGUCCGUGUCACCCUUCGGGGUGGUUGGGUGGUUGAGUCUGUGACCUGAGCCGGUAGUAGGCAAGCUGCGGAGGGACGCAGGAAGGUAGCCCAUCCCACGCGAUGGUUGUCGUGGGCUAAGCGCGUAGGCUGUUGCAUUGGCAAAUCCGUGCGACGUGUGGCUGAGACGUGAUGGCACUGCCCCGUUGGGGGUGGUGUGGGUGAUCCUAUGCUGCCUAGAAAAGCUUCGUGAGCGAGUUGUGAGCCGCCCGUACCCCAAACCGACACAGGUGGAUAGGUAGAGAAUACCAAGGCGAUCGAGAGAAUCGUGGUGAAGGAACUCGGCAAAAUACCCCCGUAACUUCGGGAUAAGGGGGACCUGAACCGUGAACACCUUUGCGGUGGGAAGCGGGGAGGGUCGCAGAGACCAGGCCCAAGCGACUGUUUACUAAAAACACAGGUCCGUGCGAAGUUGAAAGACGAUGUAUACGGACUGACUCCUGCCCGGUGCUGGAAGGUUAAGGGGAACUGUUAGCGCAAGCGAAGCGGUGAACUUAAGCCCCAGUAAACGGCGGUGGUAACUAUAACCAUCCUAAGGUAGCGAAAUUCCUUGUCGGGUAAGUUCCGACCUGCACGAAUGGAGUAACGAUUUGGGCGCUGUCUCCACCACGAACUCGGCGAAAUUGCAUUACGAGUAAAGAUGCUCGUUACGCGCAGCAGGACGGAAAGACCCCGGGACCUUUACUAUAGUUUGGUAUUGGUGAUCGGUACGACUUGUGUAGGAUAGGUGGGAGACUUUGAAGCUGUCACGCCAGUGAUGGUGGAGUCAACGUUGAAAUACCACUCUGGUCGUUCUGGUUAUCUAACCUCGGACCCUGAUCGGGUUCAGGGACAGUGCCUGAUGGGUAGUUUGACUGGGGCGGUCGCCUCCCAAAAGGUAACGGAGGCGCCCAAAGGUUCCCUCAGCCUGGUUGGCAAUCAGGUGUUGAGUGUAAGUGCACAAGGGAGCUUGACUGUGAGACAGACAUGUCGAGCAGGGACGAAAGUCGGGACUAGUGAUCUGACGGUGGCGUGUGGAAGCGCCGUCACUCAACGGAUAAAAGGUACCCCGGGGAUAACAGGCUGAUCUUGCCCGAGCGUCCAUAGCGACGGCAUGGUUUGGCACCUCGAUGUCGGCUCGUCGCAUCCUGGGGCUGGAGUCGGUCCCAAGGGUUGGGCUGUUCGCCCAUUAAAGCGGCACGCGAGCUGGGUUUAGAACGUCGUGAGACAGUUCGGUCCCUAUCCGCUGCGCGCGUUAGAGUCUUGAGAAGGGCUGUCCUUAGUACGAGAGGACCGGGACGGACCAACCUCUGGUGUGCCAGUUGUCCUGCCAAGGGCACGGCUGGUUGGCUACGUUGGGAAAUGAUAACCGCUGAAAGCAUCUAAGCGGGAAGCACGCUUCAAGAUGAGGACUCUCACCACCAUCGAGUGGGUAAGGCCCCCUACAGACCAUGGGGUUGAUAGGCCAGACGUGGAAGCACAGCAAUGUGUGGAGCUGACUGGUACUAAUAGGCCGAGGGCUUGUCACACACCCAACAA
RNAcentral lists this ribosomal RNA (3120 nucleotides) under Propioniciclava sinopodophylli. RNAcentral's name for it is "Brevilactibacter sinopodophylli 23S ribosomal RNA". It matches the Rfam family "Bacterial large subunit ribosomal RNA". Lineage: Bacteria; Bacillati; Actinomycetota; Actinomycetes; Propionibacteriales; Propionibacteriaceae. The record is from RNAcentral.